GGGGGUUUCAGUUCCUCUUGACCUCAUCAAGACACUGUUGUCUAGAACCUUCUUUCUGCCCAUCACGGUAAUUGGAGAUGCUGCUAACUAGCUCCCACCUCUGCCUGCCCGCUUCAUGCCUGCCAUCCUUGGCAUCCCUACUUGAAAAAAAGCUCUCCAUUUUUGCAGGAAACCCGAGUGAAGGCUGAGUGCCCCAUGAGGGACCCGGGCUCUGACACAGACAGACUGUCCCGGCUGGAGUCCAGCUCCUGGACGACCUGGGUCUCCCCGUUCUGCACUGGUAUCGCGCGGUGAGGCGGCGCUGAUCAGAACCUCAAAAGACCUGACCCCGAACACCGUCAUCCCAAAUCCUGAGCUCCUGAAAGAUCAAAACCUAACAUGUUGGUGUUCUGACCAGUUUCUCUGUGAAUGGUUCAUCUGCACAUAACUCAUAUCCACGUGACUGAAUGAGCACACCUGUGUGUCUGUGCUGGAGAAAAUGUUAUGAUCACCGACUUUAUUGGGAUGUCAGCAUUCAGAACUGUGUCCCAGGAUCGUGGCCCAGACCCACAGGGCAGGGGCGUGCACUUUUGAGGGUUCUGAAGACGACUCAACAGGGUGCCUGACCUGCUGGUAAGGACUCAGGAGACCUCACCUGUCCUCGUCACACUCAUGGAAGGGGACUCCAGAUCCCUGGCGUAGCUGGUCUGGGAACUGGGGAGGGAUGGGCAGUGCCCGGUAUAGGGUGCAACCUCCAGUGCCCACAUUAGCACGUCUGUUGCUGUGAGAUUCUAUCCUGUGGACACCUGUGGCUGUAACACACACCUUCCCACUGCUGUCACAGGAGUGAUACUCUUUCCGAUUCUAACAUCAGUGUGUGCACAUUUUGGGAAAACCAGCAAGUACAGAAGAAGAAUUUAGGCCGGGCCCAGUGGCUCACGCCUGGAAUCCCAGCACUUCGGGAAGUCAAGGCAGGAGGAUCGCUGGAGGCCAGGAGUUUGAGAUCAGCCCGGGCAACAUAGUGAGACCUCAUCUCUAUUUAAGAAAGAAAAAGACCACUGGUCCUCCCAGUGUUUACAAGAUUUUUCCAUUAAAACAGGAGGGAUCAUAAUGAGCGGCCUAACAAAGACAUUUAAAGACACGCCAAGAAGGGGCG
Molecule: long non-coding RNA, 1135 nt
Filed under: Homo sapiens (human)
Lineage: Eukaryota; Metazoa; Chordata; Mammalia; Primates; Hominidae
Description: HSALNT0274401
Source: RNAcentral